RNA transcript from Polistes canadensis, 2021 nucleotides. It is a transcript of the gene named thymidylate synthase, with no coding region annotated. The record is from RefSeq and is a predicted model, not a curated record. Lineage: Eukaryota; Metazoa; Arthropoda; Insecta; Hymenoptera; Vespidae. The transcript is spliced from 7 exons.
GGAAAACACUACUUUUUCGUACGUUAUGUUCCAUGUUUUACAAAUUUCAAAUGAAUAUCUUAAAUUAAAAACUUCAGUUACAUACAAUAUCAAAUUAUAUUAAAAUCAUUUUUAAUAAUAAUAUGUGCGUUUGCGUUUAACAAGUAAAUUUAAAUCGUCGUGAAAUAUUAUUAUUUAAACAUAUCUUAUAGAUUAUCGGGCACGUCUAAAAAAAAUAAGGUUAUUUCACUUAGAUUCGCUUUAAAAAUAUGAUGUUUGAACAAAAUUAUAAAGUUAAUAUAGAGGAAUCUAAAAAUUCGAAAACGGUAGAAGAUCAUGACGAAUAUCAGUAUUUGAAUUUGAUCAAGAAAAUAAUUAAAACUGGAGUUAAAAAAAAUGAUAGAACUGGAGUUGGAACUUAUUCGAUUUUUGGAACACAGAUGCGUUUCAAUUUAGCAAAUGGAAUAUUUCCUUUGUUGACUACAAAACGAGUCUUUUGGCGUGGAGUCAUAGAAGAAUUGUUAUGGUUUAUUAAAGGAUCGACUAAUGUAAAAGAAUUACAAGAUAAAGGAGUACAUAUUUGGGAUUCCAAUGGUUCUCGUGCUUUUCUUGAUUCUUGUGGUUUUACUGACAGAGAAGAAGGUGAUCUCGGCCCAGUAUAUGGAUUUCAAUGGAGACAUUACGGCGUGGAAUACAAAAAUAUGCAUUCAAAUUACAAAGAACAAGGUAUUGACCAGUUGAAGGAAGUCAUUCAUAAAAUAAAACACUCACCGGAUGAUAGAAGAAUAAUAAUGACUGCAUGGAAUCCAGUUGAUAUUCCAAAAAUGGCUUUACCACCUUGUCACUGUUUGGUACAAUUUUAUGUAAGCAACGGAACGUUGUCAUGUCAACUUUAUCAAAGAAGUGCCGAUAUGGGUCUUGGUGUUCCAUUUAAUAUAGCGUCAUAUUCUCUAUUAACUUACAUGGUGGCUCAUAUUACAGAUUUGAAGCCAGGUGAAUUUAUACACACGAUGGGUGAUUGUCAUAUAUACAUUAAUCAUAUAUCGGCACUUGAAGAACAAAUAAAACGCGCACCGAGGCCUUUUCCCACAUUGAAAAUAAUUGGUGACGUUAAAGAUAUAGAUGACUAUACAUUUAAUAAUUUUGAACUAAUAAAUUAUAAGCCACAUCCAAAAAUUGAUAUGAAAAUGGCAGUUUAAUUCAAUGUUUAUAUAUGGGUCCAUUAGGACUAUACAUUGCAUAUUAGAAGCGAAGAAAAAUACUCAAUCCUUUCCAAGAUAUUGAAUGAAGAAAUUUUACUAACAUUAAAAUUCCUCAAUUCCAUAAAAGAGAGAGUAAUAACUAUAUAACUAUACAUUAUUGAAAGUGAUCGAUGAUCAAAUCUAGGGCAAGAGAAAGUUAAAUAAAAAAGCUUCUGUAUCUAUAGUCCAAAAAGUAUAUAAAUACCUGUCACUGACAUUUUGUGAAAGCUAUAUGUUAACUUGACUAGAUCAUUACAUCUUUAUCUGUAUUCAGCAAAGAAUUAAACAGUGCUAAUAUUUCAUAUGAAUUACAAGAAGUACAUCUUUAUAUAUCUUCUUUUACAUUCAAUAUGUAUUAUCACUUGUAAUAAAUCAAUAUCAACUUAUUUUCUAUCAAAGUUAGAACAGAUGAAUAAAUUGAGAAAACCUGUUUAUACAUUUGUCAAAACUGACAAGGAAGCAAACAUUAAAUGGGGUGUACGACAUUAUAUUCCCAGAGCAACAGAUAUAAAAAAAUAACUGAACAACAUUCUGCUACAGUUACAAUGUAGAAUAAAAGUGCAACACACACAAUAUGCAUUUUUUAUUUUAAAAAUGUUGAUAAAUUAUUUGAUGUAUUUAUCCUUUAUUGUUGUUGUUCUACCGAAAUUGGAAUUUGAGAAUAUGUUAUUCUUUCUUCUUAAAACGAACUAUUACUUAUAGAAUUUAUUUAAUUAUGGAUGUGUGAAUUAGAAAUAAUUAUCUUGAAACAUCUUGUAUAUUCUGAAGAAAAACAUAUGAUGAAUAAAUUUAGAUUGUGUU